GGAACGCAGUAAAGAUGAUUUAGUUUUACACAAUAGAAAUAAAUAUCGAUAUAGUCGACGGCGGAAAGGUGGAAAUAUAAAAUCGUUAUGUAAUAAAUAAUGACCGCAGUGCGAGUAUUUUAACGACAUCAGACCAAAAGAGUCUAUCCUCGAAUUUUCAGAUGAGCAUAUCUGCGCUAAUAACUCGGUACGAAAAAUCGAGCGGCAGAUAUAUUAAGGGAAAACUGCAAAAGAAAACGCGAAGAAAACUUAUCUACUAACC
Molecule: non-coding RNA, 262 nt
Organism: Cinara cedri
Lineage: Eukaryota; Metazoa; Arthropoda; Insecta; Hemiptera; Aphididae
Source: the annotation of a GenBank genome assembly